CCUUAUAAGGGUGCGAUCUGUUUUUUCAAUAAAGCCCGACCCGAUCCAUACCCACCGAAAAAGAGAAAAGAAACUCAUCCUGACCGACACCUUCCCCAGCCGCAGCGCGCCGCCGCGACCUCGUCUCUCCCCCAGAGCACCGUCGCGCCUUCCCCUCUCCCCCAGCGCGCCGCCGCGCCCUCCCCUCUCCCUCAGCGCGCCGCCUCGCCGCCCCCUCUCCCCCACCUUCUCCCUCGGUUCCAGCCCGAGCACAGCCUGGCUCCGACGGCCCCGGCCAUGAUUCGCCCCCACCUGGCUGGAUCUACCGCCGCCGCGGCCAGCCCAAGUCCGGUUUGUGCUGCUCCUCUCCUCCUUUCCGUCACCGCCGUUCAUCCGGGUUAGCUCUCCAUCGACAGGCCCCGGUCGCUACUCACCUCGAUAGCCUCUGGUCAUGGUGUUCUCCUACCUGCGGCUGCCCUCGAUCAUGAGCUCGUCCACCACAAUCGCUGGUAGCCGUCAAACUUGAGCUCUGACGGCAGUCCGAGCAGAACUUCAACCACCAUCUUCACCUAGUGCUGGAUGUUGCUCGCUCAUCGAGCUCAACCACGGCCCAAACAAAAAAACACCCCGUCUCGUCAUCUCCACCUCUCCUGACCAGAUCCUACACCGCGCCUCCAUUCCCCAGUCGCCCGUGCCCCUCACACCCCGGUCGUCGCGCGCCGCCCUCCUUCCGGCCAACACGCUCCUCCGUCCUCCCUGCCGACGCGUGCUCCACCCACGGCGCCGCACGCCUCCCUCGACCCGGCCGAUGCGCGCCCCACCCCCGGUUGCCGCGCACCUCCCUCCUGCUGGUUGCCGCCUCCAGCCCGCCGUCACUGCCCCCGAUGCCUCGACGCCCAGAGCCCCUUCCUCUAUUCCUCAAAAAUCCGUCAAUUGGAAAAGUCUCAAAAACCCGUCAGUUGGAAAGCCGUUCAACGUCCGUGGCUGAGAACGUCCACGAGCUCCUCUGUUAUCAGUUCCUUCGGUCGACAGUGCGUUGUGGCUCCUUGGUGAGCAAACCUUUUGUCCCUGUUGUGCAGUCAUUUCCUGGAGUAAGGAUGUUGUGCAUACACGUGCGUCAGUGCACUAUCGACUAUAACAAAAGUUGAUGUUCGUGCAAAUGCCAAACUUGUCGCAGCUGGGUGCAACCCGCGAAGGGGCUAUGCAGCAGGUGAGGAGGUGUGUGUGCGAGAGAUGAUACUGAACUUGUACUGCUGCUGUACUCGCGUGUGAAUGAUUCUUUUUUUCCUGCUCAUUCUUGUACUGCCUGCCAUGAAAAUACCUGACGACAGAAUACAGAAUAUUUGUGUAUUCUAUCAUCAGUUCAUAGAGAAGAAAUUCUUUUUUCUCCA
Triticum urartu is the source of this 1370-nucleotide long non-coding RNA. RefSeq lists it as uncharacterized. The record is from RefSeq and is a predicted model, not a curated record. Lineage: Eukaryota; Viridiplantae; Streptophyta; Magnoliopsida; Poales; Poaceae.